RNAcentral lists this ribosomal RNA (763 nucleotides) under Limosilactobacillus mucosae. Its description in RNAcentral is "bacterial SSU rRNA". It matches the Rfam family "Bacterial small subunit ribosomal RNA", at positions 39 to 789 of the family's 1533-position model. Lineage: Bacteria; Bacillati; Bacillota; Bacilli; Lactobacillales; Lactobacillaceae. The record is from RNAcentral.
GCGUUGGCCCAACUGAUUGAACGUGCUUGCACGGACUUGACGUUGGUUUACCAGCGAGUGGCGGACGGGUGAGUAACACGUAGGUAACCUGCCCCAAAGCGGGGGAUAACAUUUGGAAACAGAUGCUAAUACCGCAUAACAAUUUGAAUCGCAUGAUUCAAAUUUAAAAGAUGGCUUCGGCUAUCACUUUGGGAUGGACCUGCGGCGCAUUAGCUUGUUGGUAGGGUAACGGCCUACCAAGGCUGUGAUGCGUAGCCGAGUUGAGAGACUGAUCGGCCACAAUGGAACUGAGACACGGUCCAUACUCCUACGGGAGGCAGCAGUAGGGAAUCUUCCACAAUGGGCGCAAGCCUGAUGGAGCAACACCGCGUGAGUGAAGAAGGGUUUCGGCUCGUAAAGCUCUGUUGUUAGAGAAGAACGUGCGUGAGAGCAACUGUUCACGCAGUGACGGUAUCUAACCAGAAAGUCACGGCUAACUACGUGCCAGCAGCCGCGGUAAUACGUAGGUGGCAAGCGUUAUCCGGAUUUAUUGGGCGUAAAGCGAGCGCAGGCGGUUUGAUAAGUCUGAUGUGAAAGCCUUUGGCUUAACCAAAGAAGUGCAUCGGAAACUGUCAGACUUGAGUGCAGAAGAGGACAGUGGAACUCCAUGUGUAGCGGUGGAAUGCGUAGAUAUAUGGAAGACACCAGUGGCGAAGCGGCUGUCUGGUCUGCAACUGACGCUGACGCUCGAAAGCAUGGGUAGCGAACAGGAUUAGAUACCCUG